CGCCGGAUGACGGCCACCCCCGCCCCCCUCUCUGCGCGCGCGUCCAGGUCGUUGUUUCUUUUGGUGUUACCCUGCGUUCAAAGGGAUCAAGAUGGUGCCUUUCUUUGGGUCUGCAUUUCGUCUACUACUUCUCCCACCCAGCAGGUAGCAACAUGUGUUGAGCAAUGACAUAGACAACAUUUUCCCUUUUUAGUAGUGAUUUGAUGCACCAAUAAAUAGAUGUUUCUACUAUCUCAGAAAGUUUUAGCUGAUGGAUAUCUGCUGGAGAAAUAUUAGUCAUUUUGUUGAGCAUGGCUAGAGUCGUAUUGACACAUCCAUGUGAGAGGGGAUCGAAACUUUGCUUUAUGCAUGUUAUUGUCCUUCAGUAAAGUUUUUUAGCUCAAUGGAAGCGUUUGUCCUUGGUGAUGCCAACCUUGGUGGGAUAUUUUUUGUCAUGUAAACGCCUAAUAUUUGUACAUGGUUAUGUCCACCUUCAACGGAAGGCACAUAGAUCCCCAUUUGUGGUUUCAGCUUUACGGGAAGUUUUUAGUCUUAUAGGACUAAUGCUUAUAGUUUAUUUUCAAGUAUUUCUACUGCUCGGCUUAUUUUUAAACUAUAGUUUGGUUGAUGAACUAUUUCUAUUGAUAAGCUCAUUUUAAAAAUAUAGUUUGGUUGGUGAAGUUGCCUACUAUAUCACUUAUCGCGUAGAAAGGUUUUUGUUUCUUUCUUCAUCUCAAUAUUAGCCAUUUCAGUAUAUGUCCAUUGUUCAUUAUAUUUCUGAAGCGGCAUUUUUUAUUAGCAGUCCUAAUUAUGUGUCUCUGUUUAUAUUAUAUAUGUAAAGGCAAGAAUCAAACAAUUUUAUUUAUGUGCCUAUGUUUGUAGAUUGGUAAAUCAUACUUCAGUUGUAUUGACCUGCAAUAAUAGUUCUAUGAUUAGAGCUUAUAGUUUAUUGUCAACUACUUUACUGAUGACACUUUUUUUAUUUACAUUGUGAGUUGCUGGUGUUGCUUCCUGUUGGACAUAGCUCGUUCUCCAGUCUCCACCUUCGAUUUGUGACACAGAUUGGUUUAUUGUGAUGUUGCUUUGAACAAGGAAUGGGUGAUGCUAUACCACUAGGAUUGUGUCAUCACCACAUACAUAAUUAGUCCCAGGAAAAAUAUAAAGCAUACCAAGGUGUGCUUGGUCUGCAGUGACGACCUUUGGGCCAACAACACAUGGACAUUUCACAGAUAAACUAUUGCAUCAGGCUAAAACAACAGAGUUUGGUUUGAGGUGCUCUCACAAGAUAUCAGAAAUUUGCUUGGCGAAGAUCUGGGACACUCGGGUACAUUAGACCCACGAGGCAACGCGACGGAGGCCAUGCACUCAAGUGGGAGGCGGAGCUCGCCUCCCCCAAUGACGACGGCUUCGACCUCAAGUGGAAGUGGGAGGCCAAGUCCAAGCCAUGCGCUGCCGGCAAGGUCGAAACCAAGUGGGGCGCCGAGGAAGCCAACAAGGAUGACAAUAAUCCGGCAAGAAAGUGCGUCCAGAUCAAGGAGAUCUCCACCGGCUGCGACGUCCAAAUAGAGGUACUCGACAGAAAUUUGAAAUUGUUGUGAUGAAAUAUGGGAUUUCCAGUGCUCCAGUAGCUAAAUGAUGAAAUGUGGGAGUAGAUUCAAGAGAAAGAUUGCAGUAACUUACUCCAGUAGCUUAGAUGGAACUUCGCUGUUUUGGAAUUUCCAGUAGCUUAAGUAUUGCAGUAGAUUUCCAAUAAAAUCUUGCCCGAGUGAUGUUUGCUUGGUUCCUAUGAAUCUUAAUCUUGAAUGUGUGUCUCUGAAUCUUAAUCUGAUGGGUGCUACUAUGAAUAAGGUUAGUUGUUGUUGAUUA
Triticum aestivum (bread wheat) is the source of this 1845-nucleotide RNA transcript. RefSeq lists it as uncharacterized. NCBI's taxonomy places the organism in Eukaryota, Viridiplantae, Streptophyta, Magnoliopsida, Poales, Poaceae. The transcript is spliced from 5 exons. The record is from RefSeq and is a predicted model, not a curated record.